Molecule: ribosomal RNA, 497 nt
Filed under: uncultured bacterium
Lineage: Bacteria
Description: partial 16S ribosomal RNA
Rfam family: Bacterial small subunit ribosomal RNA
Source: RNAcentral
GAUGAACGCUGGCGGCGUGCCUAAUACAUGCAAGUCGAGCGAACAGAUAAGGAGCUUGCUCCUUUGACGUUAGCGGCGGACGGGUGAGUAACACGUGGGUAACCUACCUAUAAGACUGGAAUAACUCCGGGAAACCGGGGCUAAUGCCGGAUAACAUUUAGAAACGCAUGGUUCUAAAGUGAAAGAUGGUUUUGCUAUCACUUAUAGAUGGACCCGCGCCGUAUUAGCUAGUUGGUAAGGUAACGGCUUACCAAGGCAACGAUACGUAGCCGACCUGAGAGGGUGAUCGGCCACACUGGAACUGAGACACGGUCCAGACUCCUACGGGAGGCAGCAGUAGGGAAUCUUCCGCAAUGGGCGAAAGCCUGACGGAGCAACGCCGCGUGAGUGAUGAAGGUCUUCGGAUCGUAAAACUCUGUUAUUAGGGAAGAACAAAUGUGUAAGUAACUGUGCACGUCUUGACGGUACCUAAUCAGAAAGCCACGGCUAACUACGUG